Drosophila virilis is the source of this 716-nucleotide non-coding RNA. The record is from RefSeq and is a predicted model, not a curated record. Lineage: Eukaryota; Metazoa; Arthropoda; Insecta; Diptera; Drosophilidae.
UAGGAACACAACUCGAUGUCAAAAAAAAAAAAAGUGUACAAACAAGAAAAACAAAUAAGAGAAGAACAAAAUAACAUGUGACAGCGAACCGCAAUUGCAGCUUGCCGCAAGUCAAGCACCUGCUCUGCUGAUCGCGAGAGAGCAAGGGGCGAAGGGAGAGCAUGUGAGAGCGUAAAGUGCAGUGGCAAUGUCUUGUUUGGUACGCGCCAAGGGGAAUAAGCACUUCUUUAUACCCUGCACACACGACGCGAGGGUCGCAUAAUUUAUGCAAAUCAUUUUAAGUGAACCAAAAUUUAGUUUUCUCUGAAUGUUCAAGCAAAAAAUAAGUAUUUGUUUACAAACGCAAGUUAAAGAAGCGAAGAGGAGAAGAUCUUAUUUAAUCGACUCGAUUUUUGAAGCAGUAGAUAAAUAUGUUAAAGCGUGCCUGUAUGUUGCCUUAUAGCCUAAUUCCACUAUUAACAUUUCACACAUUUUUUGCGAAUGCGAAGUUUGUUGCAUGUACUUUCAUUCAUAUGACACUUACUAAUGGCAUCGCAGAAUGUGAUGUUUGUAAAUGUAACAAAUGUUGACCAUAGCGGUUGGCCUACUAAAUAUGAUGUUGCUGUAGCAAAUGUAGCAAAUGUUAAAUGCGAAAAUUGACAAUCAAAAUUAGUAUCUAUAUGAAAACGGAAUGAAGAAUUGAAUAUUGAAUUAAACAUGAUUUGUUGCAGCCCUUU